Molecule: ribosomal RNA, 1379 nt
Filed under: Enterococcus durans
Lineage: Bacteria; Bacillati; Bacillota; Bacilli; Lactobacillales; Enterococcaceae
Description: bacterial SSU rRNA
Rfam family: Bacterial small subunit ribosomal RNA
Source: RNAcentral
CGGAGCUUGCUCCACCGGAAAAAGAAGAGUGGCGAACGGGUGAGUAACACGUGGGUAACCUGCCCAUCAGAAGGGGAUAACACUUGGAAACAGGUGCUAAUACCGUAUAACAAUCGAAACCGCAUGGUUUUGAUUUGAAAGGCGCUUUCGGGUGUCGCUGAUGGAUGGACCCGCGGUGCAUUAGCUAGUUGGUGAGGUAACGGCUCACCAAGGCCACGAUGCAUAGCCGACCUGAGAGGGUGAUCGGCCACAUUGGGACUGAGACACGGCCCAAACUCCUACGGGAGGCAGCAGUAGGGAAUCUUCGGCAAUGGACGAAAGUCUGACCGAGCAACGCCGCGUGAGUGAAGAAGGUUUUCGGAUCGUAAAACUCUGUUGUUAGAGAAGAACAAGGAUGAGAGUAACUGUUCAUCCCUUGACGGUAUCUAACCAGAAAGCCACGGCUAACUACGUGCCAGCAGCCGCGGUAAUACGUAGGUGGCAAGCGUUGUCCGGAUUUAUUGGGCGUAAAGCGAGCGCAGGCGGUUUCUUAAGUCUGAUGUGAAAGCCCCCGGCUCAACCGGGGAGGGUCAUUGGAAACUGGGAGACUUGAGUGCAGAAGAGGAGAGUGGAAUUCCAUGUGUAGCGGUGAAAUGCGUAGAUAUAUGGAGGAACACCAGUGGCGAAGGCGGCUCUCUGGUCUGUAACUGACGCUGAGGCUCGAAAGCGUGGGGAGCAAACAGGAUUAGAUACCCUGGUAGUCCACGCCGUAAACGAUGAGUGCUAAGUGUUGGAGGGUUUCCGCCCUUCAGUGCUGCAGCUAACGCAUUAAGCACUCCGCCUGGGGAGUACGACCGCAAGGUUGAAACUCAAAGGAAUUGACGGGGGCCCGCACAAGCGGUGGAGCAUGUGGUUUAAUUCGAAGCAACGCGAAGAACCUUACCAGGUCUUGACAUCCUUUGACCACUCUAGAGAUAGAGCUUCCCCUUCGGGGGCAAAGUGACAGGUGGUGCAUGGUUGUCGUCAGCUCGUGUCGUGAGAUGUUGGGUUAAGUCCCGCAACGAGCGCAACCCUUAUUGUUAGUUGCCAUCAUUUAGUUGGGCACUCUAGCAAGACUGCCGGUGACAAACCGGAGGAAGGUGGGGAUGACGUCAAAUCAUCAUGCCCCUUAUGACCUGGGCUACACACGUGCUACAAUGGGAAGUACAACGAGUCGCGAAGUCGCGAGGCUAAGCUAAUCUCUUAAAGCUUCUCUCAGUUCGGAUUGUAGGCUGCAACUCGCCUACAUGAAGCCGGAAUCGCUAGUAAUCGCGGAUCAGCACGCCGCGGUGAAUACGUUCCCGGGCCUUGUACACACCGCCCGUCACACCACGAGAGUUUUAACACCCGAAGUCGGUGAG